Molecule: unclassified non-coding RNA, 27 nt
Filed under: Dictyostelium discoideum
Lineage: Eukaryota; Evosea; Eumycetozoa; Dictyosteliales; Dictyosteliaceae
Source: RNAcentral
CUGAAAAUCCCAUAUCUCUUUAUACUU